AAGGACUAAACUAGCAAUUAAACGCAAGCAUUAAAAAAAAUACAAUCAACCACAUAAAACAAUACCGUUUCUAGUUGGGUCUGAACGAAAACAAAGUUAAAUGCACCAUACAAAUUACAAACAAUUAAAGAAAUCAAAUCGUAAUCUCAGUAAACACACAGGGACCUACUUAGGAAAUAGACCAAUUAGUCUAGCAUGCGCGGAUCCUACCCCGGGUCAGGUCACCGCCUGAAUCUGGUCGUCAAACGACGUCGUUUUGAAGCUAUUAUGUUAGCGACAAACGGCGACGUUUUAGUCCCGUAUUUAAAAACUAAAACCCUAAACACUUUUCACUUCAAAAACCUAAAGAGAACAAAUGUUCUCCGCGCUGCUCUGACGAUUCACCGCCUCCGAAGACCUCCGAUCUUCGCCUCAAUUCCGAUGACUGCAGAGAGGGCAAAAAUCCAGCCUUCAGGUACGCCCUCCUUCCUUUACUGCUACUGUUUCUUUCUUUUAAUAACAAUCUAUAGAUGCGAAAUAAAAAAAAAGGAAGAAAAAGGAAAGAAAAGCAACGAACUGCGAAUAUGAGAACAGAAAAAAAGAACCCAGUAAUCACCUUUUGAUAUUUCAAAUUUUGUAUUCUGAAUGCGUAAAUUGUUUACAGUGUUCGAAUGGCCUUCUUAUAGCCCGAUUUAUAGAAAAAUAAAAAAUAAAUAAAAGGUUCCCCUAUUCUGUUAUUUUCCUAUUUGUUGCUGUUUUCGUGCGUUUUUUUUUGCAGGUAUUCGGCCAGCCUGGAGGUACGGAGGUGGCCGUAUGGAGGCGUGCGUGGCUAGGGCGUACGGAGGCUGAUCACGCGCGGAAGGCUUGGCUGUGGCUCAUGAAGUUGUUGCUGUCUAGGGUUUCCUGAUUGGGGUUAGAUUCGGUAUUGGGCUGAUUGGGUUGGGUAUUAGAUGUUGGACCUUAAUUGUUUGGGCUAAUUUUCGGACUAGUGUUUAGUGGGUUUGAGGCUUAAUGUAAUCCGAGCUUGGAUUUAAAUUUGUAAUACUGGACAGUAUUGGACUUUUAUUAUAUUUAUUUUAUAUAUAUAUUAUAUUUGGGUUUUACUACUUGGGUUCGGGUCGGGCAAAAUUUGGGUAUUACAAUGGUAUUUGGAUGAUUUUUGAAAUACAAAAUAAAAAUUCG
This 1161-nucleotide long non-coding RNA is filed under the name Gossypium barbadense (sea-island cotton). RNAcentral's name for it is "long non-coding RNA (GBAR_LNC022748)". The record is from RNAcentral. Lineage: Eukaryota; Viridiplantae; Streptophyta; Magnoliopsida; Malvales; Malvaceae.